CGGGUGAGUAAUGCUUGGGAAUCUGGCUUAUGGAGGGGGAUAACUACGGGAAACUGUAGCUAAUACCGCGUAAUAUCGAAAGAUUAAAGUGUGGGAUCUUCGGGCCACAUGCCAUAGGAUGAGCCCAAGUGGGAUUAGGUAGUUGGUGAGGUAAAGGCUCACCAAGCCGACGAUCUCUAGCUGGUCUGAGAGGAUGACCAGCCACACUGGGACUGAGACACGGCCCAG
Molecule: ribosomal RNA, 228 nt
Filed under: uncultured bacterium
Lineage: Bacteria
Description: partial 16S ribosomal RNA
Rfam family: Bacterial small subunit ribosomal RNA
Source: RNAcentral